Molecule: long non-coding RNA, 174 nt
Organism: Etheostoma cragini (Arkansas darter)
Lineage: Eukaryota; Metazoa; Chordata; Actinopteri; Perciformes; Percidae
Exons: 3
Source: RefSeq, a predicted model, not a curated record
CUUGUUUGACUGUAAAAACCUGUUUCGUCUGUUGUUUUUAUAUAUUUUAAAUGUGUAACACCAGUUGAGAAACGGUGAAACGUUGUUUCGUGUAUAUUGUUGAAAUAACAAUAAAACACACUUGAAUUGAAUGCCUCACUGUUUGUCUAUAUAUGUAAAUGGUAGGCAUUGCUU